This 481-nucleotide ribosomal RNA is filed under the name uncultured bacterium. RNAcentral describes it as "partial 16S ribosomal RNA". It matches the Rfam family "Bacterial small subunit ribosomal RNA", at positions 28 to 523 of the family's 1533-position model. The record is from RNAcentral.
GACGAACGCUGGUGGCGUGCUUAACACAUGCAAGUCGAGCGGAAAGGCCACUUCGGUGGUACUCGGGCGGCGAACGGGUGAGUAACACGUGAGUAAUCUGCCCCUGGCUUUGGGAUAGCCACCGGAAACGGUGAUUAAUACCGGAUACGACCACUUCUCGCAUGGGAUGGUGGUGGAAAGUUUUUUCGGCCAGGGAUGUGCUCGCGGCCUAUCAGCUUGAUGGUGAGGUAAUGGCUCACCAUGGCUUCGACGGGUAGCCGGCCUGAGAGGGUGACCGGUCACACUGGGACUGAGACACGGCCCAGACUCCUACGGGAGGCAGCAGUGGGGAAUAUUGGACAAUGGGCGGAAGCCUGAUCCAGCAACGCCGCGUGAGGGAUGACGGCCUUCGGGUUGUAAACCUCUUUCAGCAGGGACGAAGCGCAAGUGACGGUACCUGCAGAAGAAGCACCGGCCAACUACGUGCCAGCCGCCGCGGUAA